CAGACGAUGCGUCAUGCAUAUCAAUAAGCGGAGGAAAAGAAACUAACAAGGAUUCCCCUAGUAACGGCGAGUGAAGCGGGAAGAGCUCAAAUUUGAAAUCUUAAAGGGUUUCCCUUUACGAAUUGUAGUUUAAAGAAGUGCUUUCUGUUGAGGUUUUGGUAAAAGUUCUUUGGAAUAGGACAUCAUAGAGGGUGAGAAUCCCGUAUUUGACCUUUACUUUCAACUUUGUGAUACACUUUCAAAGAGUCGGAUUGUUUGGGAAUGCAGUCCAAAAUGGGUGGUAAAUUUCAUCUAAAGCUAAAUAUUGGCGAGAGACCGAUAGCGAACAAGUACCGUGAGGGAAAGAUGAAAAGAACUUUGAAAAGAGAGUUAAACAGUACGUGAAAUUGUCAAAAGGGAAGCGUUUGACACCAGUGUUGUUUUUCUGAAAAUCAAUUAAAGAACUGUUUAUGCUAAGCUGUUUAGACUUUAUCAGCUAUCCUGUUUAGUUUUGAGCUUUUCUUUAAUGCACUUUUCAGUUAACAAGUCAACAUCAAUUUCUUUUACUGUAAAAAAGCUUGAGGAAGGUGGCUUGAGAUUCGUCUUAAGUGUUUAUAGCCUCUUGCCUAUGCAGUCGGAGAGAUUGAGGUCUGCAGCGUAGAUCCUUCGGGGCUAAAUGCAUUUGUGCUAAGUUAUAGCACUUUAUAGACAACUUGUUGACUAUGAUUUGUCUUGUAGCUUACUCGCUUAUGUUAUUUUACCUACGCUUAGGAUGUUGACACACGCGCGUGCUCG
This 774-nucleotide ribosomal RNA is filed under the name uncultured Neocallimastigales. Its description in RNAcentral is "partial large subunit ribosomal RNA". It matches the Rfam family "Eukaryotic large subunit ribosomal RNA", at positions 18 to 643 of the family's 3401-position model. The record is from RNAcentral. Lineage: Eukaryota; Fungi; Neocallimastigomycota; Neocallimastigomycetes; Neocallimastigales.